Molecule: long non-coding RNA, 1111 nt
Filed under: Chrysolophus pictus (golden pheasant)
Lineage: Eukaryota; Metazoa; Chordata; Aves; Galliformes; Phasianidae
Description: lncRNA (ENSCPIG00010008213.1)
Source: RNAcentral
GGGGUUCUCUUCUCUGGAGACGUUAAAAACCCGCUUGGACGCGUUCUUAUGUGACCUAAUCUAGGUGUUCCUGCUCCCGCAGGGAUAUUGGACUAGAUGAUCUUUCGAGGUCCUUUCCAAUCCCUGACAUUCUGUGAUUCUGUGACUUGUGGACAAUAACAUACUAUUGUCAUUAGCCGUACAGAAUGCCCUCUCAGAGGCUGAAAGAAAGGGGCCAUAGCUUCUGAUGAAACUUUAGAGAUGCAGGAGAUUAUUAUUUUUCUCCUUUCCAUGGAGAAUAUCAAGCUGCUAAUUGUCUGCUCUAUUUUCUGCUCUAGUUUUUACAGAAAAUAUUAAGUCACAUACCAGGAAAAUUCAUAUUCUUGACAUUAAAUCUUCUGGUAACACCGAGAGAGCAUCAUCCAUUCAGACCGGUAGCGCAUUUGAAGCAAAGACCCUGUAAACUAGCAGUGGUUUACAUAGGCUUUGCUCUUUUCUACUCCUCUGCAAAGAGUUCCACCUGUUAAAAAAUCAAUAUUGUUGUCAGUAAUCUGGAUUUGAGGAUCUUUAGAAAUCUGAUUAUUAGUACUGAGCAGAUACAUAAAAAAAUCUCUUCUACAUUGAACACUGUAUUGAGGAUUCAACUCACUAACUUUGUUUUCUUUCAGGACAAUUUCACACUGAGUUUCUGAAGAUGGAUUCCCAGUUUUGCAGCUUGCCAAAGCUGCGCAUAUUUGAGAAAGAUUUUGACUGUAACAAAAUCAAUGUAAAUCAUAAUCUCGGGAGUUCAAACAGUCCUUGGUCUACAACAUGGCAUAUGAAGAGAUCGCUGGAGAUAUUUCAGACCAGAGUCUACAGUGAGAAGCAGAAGAACGAGACACCACCUACCUCUCGCAAAGCAGGGGAAGAUAGAAGGCCUAAAUGAUAUUUAUCUGCAGGUAAUAUUUCAAUAAUCUGCUUCUUCUCUUUAUCUUUCCUGAGGCUUGGAGCCAUGGCCAAGUGACGAGGGUUUCCUGUGUACAGGCUCUUUGGGCACUGUCUUGGUUUUGCCUUCCUGUUGUCCAUACUCUAACAGCUGCAGGAGAUUUCUCCAGACCUCAAAGAAGUCACUCUAGCUUAACAGCUCAGCUGG